CUUCUUUCCAGGAAAUGGAAAGCCAAGGGUGAGGCUUAUUCAUUGCACUCCGGAUAUGCUGACCCCUGAGAUUUUCCCAAAUGUGGGAAACCUGACUGCAUAAUUUUGC
This 109-nucleotide small nuclear RNA is filed under the name Tupaia belangeri (northern tree shrew). RNAcentral's name for it is "U1 spliceosomal RNA (ENSTBEG00000018676.1)". It matches the Rfam family "U1 spliceosomal RNA". From Rfam's summary of the family: U1 is a small nuclear RNA (snRNA) component of the spliceosome (involved in pre-mRNA splicing). Its 5' end forms complementary base pairs with the 5' splice junction, thus defining the 5' donor site of an intron. Lineage: Eukaryota; Metazoa; Chordata; Mammalia; Scandentia; Tupaiidae. The record is from RNAcentral.